Molecule: ribosomal RNA, 976 nt
Filed under: Arthrobacter sp.
Lineage: Bacteria; Bacillati; Actinomycetota; Actinomycetes; Micrococcales; Micrococcaceae
Description: bacterial SSU rRNA
Rfam family: Bacterial small subunit ribosomal RNA
Source: RNAcentral
GUCAAGUCGAACGAUGAUCCGGUGCUUGCACCGGGGAUUAGUGGCGAACGGGUGAGUAACACGUGAGUAACCUGCCCUUAACUCUGGGAUAAGCCUGGGAAACUGGGUCUAAUACCGGAUAUGACUCCUCAUCGCAUGGUGGCGGGGUGGAAAGCUUUAUUGUGGUUUUGGAUGGACUCGCGGCCUAUCAGCUUGUUGGUGAGGUAAUGGCUCACCAAGGCGACGACGGGUAGCCGGCCUGAGAGGGUGACCGGCCACACUGGGACUGAUACACGGCCCAGACUCCUACGGGAGGCAGCAGUGGGGAAUAUUGCACAAUGGGCGCAAGCCUGAUGCAGCGACGCCGCGUGAGGGAUGACGGCCUUCGGGUUGUAAACCUCUUUCAGUAGGGAAGAAGCGAAAGUGACGGUACCUGCAGAAGAAGCGCCGGCUAACUACGUGCCAGCAGCCGCGGUAAUACGUAGGGCGCAAGCGUUAUCCGGAAUUAUUGGGCGUAAAGAGCUCGUAGGCGGUUUGUCGCGUCUGCCGUGAAAGUCCGGGGCUCAACUCCGGAUCUGCGGUGGGUACGGGCAGACUAGAGUGAUGUAGGGGAGACUGGAAUUCCUGGUGUAGCGGUGAAAUGCGCAGAUAUCAGGAGGAACACCGAUGGCGAAGGCAGGUCUCUGGGCAUUAACUGACGCUGAGGAGCGAAAGCAUGGGGAGCGAACAGGAUUAGAUACCCUGGUAGUCCAUGCCGUAGACGUUGGGCACUAGGUGUGGGGGACAUUCCACGUUUUCCGCGCCGUAGCUAACGCAUUAAGUGCCCCGCCUGGGGAGUACGGCCGCAAGGCUAAAACUCAAAGGAAUUGACGGGGGCCCGCACAAGCGGCGGAGCAUGCGGAUUAAUUCGAUGCAACGCGAAGAACCUUACCAAGGCUUGACAUGGGCCGGACCGGGCUGGAACAGUCCUUCCCCUUUGGGGCCGGUUCACAGGUGG